CACGUAGUUAGCCGUGACUUGCUGGUUAGAUACCGUCAUCGAAUGAACAGUUACUCUCACUCGUGUUCUUCUCUAACAACAGAGUUUUACGAUCCGAAGACCUUCUUCACUCACGCGGCGUUGCUCCAUCAGACUUGCGUCCAUUGUGGAAGAUUCCCUACUGCUGCCUCCCGUAGGAGUUUGGGCCGUGUCUCAGUCCCAAUGUGGCCGAUCAACCUCUCAGUUCGGCUACGUAUCAUCACCUUGGUAGGCCGUUACCCCACCAACUAGUUAAUACGCCGCGGGUCCAUCUAAAAGCGAUAGCAGAACCAUCUUUCAUCUAAGGAUCAUGCGAUCCUUAGAGAUAUACGGUAUUAGCACCUGUUUCCAAGUGUUAUCCCCUUCUUUUAGGCAGGUUACCCACGUGUUACUCACCCGUCCGCCACCCAACUUCUUACGGUGAAUGCAAGCAUUCGGUGUAAGAAAGUUUCGUUCGACUUGCAUGUAUUAGGCACGCCGCCAGCGUGU
This 507-nucleotide ribosomal RNA is filed under the name uncultured Lactobacillus sp. RNAcentral's name for it is "partial 16S ribosomal RNA". The record is from RNAcentral. Lineage: Bacteria; Bacillati; Bacillota; Bacilli; Lactobacillales; Lactobacillaceae.